CAACAAUACGUCCUUAAAGAGACCGAUUUCUAGACUACCUGAAGCUCGGACUCUAAAAAGGCAAGGAUAGUUCCUGGUAUGAUUCCUCUUAUUCCACCUCCAUCGAUGCUAAGAACAGUGAUUUGGUUUCCAAAAGUUGGGGGUUGAAUGGGUGAUCUUAAAGUCUCGAUAUGAGAGAUUGAGGAGGAAUUCAAAGGCAUGGCUAGGUAAUAGUACUGAUCGAGAGCCUAGAAGCGGAAGAGUUAGAGGUGUUUAGCUUAAACUUUCUGAGAGCCUUGGGAGAUGUAUAUAGCUAGUGCUGAAAUCUAAUUAAGUUUUGAAACUUGUAAUUUCCCAAAGGGAGUGUGGAGGUAUUUAUAGACUUCUGUGCUUCAUGAAGCAUGGAAUUUUCAAUAAAGUUGAAAGAUUUUACUCACCCAAA
Long non-coding RNA from Populus trichocarpa (black cottonwood), 421 nucleotides. RefSeq lists it as uncharacterized. The record is from RefSeq and is a predicted model, not a curated record. The transcript is spliced from 2 exons. NCBI's taxonomy places the organism in Eukaryota, Viridiplantae, Streptophyta, Magnoliopsida, Malpighiales, Salicaceae.